UACGUAGGCAGCGAGCGUUGUUCGGAGUUACUGGGCGUAAAGAGUGCGUAGGCGGUUUUCUAAGUUUGGUGUGAAAUCUCCCGGCUUAACUGGGAGGGUGCGCCGAAGACUGGAAGGCUUGAGUAUGGGAGAGGUAAGCGGAAUUCCUGGUGUAGCGGUGAAAUGCGUAGAUAUCAGGAGGAACACCUGCGGUGUAGACGGCUUACUGGACCAUUUCUGACGCUGAGACACGAAAGCGUGGGUAGCAAACAGG
RNAcentral lists this ribosomal RNA (253 nucleotides) under uncultured bacterium. RNAcentral's name for it is "partial 16S ribosomal RNA". It matches the Rfam family "Bacterial small subunit ribosomal RNA", at positions 524 to 776 of the family's 1533-position model. The record is from RNAcentral.